RNAcentral lists this ribosomal RNA (235 nucleotides) under uncultured bacterium. RNAcentral's name for it is "partial 16S ribosomal RNA". It matches the Rfam family "Bacterial small subunit ribosomal RNA", at positions 15 to 240 of the family's 1533-position model. The record is from RNAcentral.
GAUCCUGGCUCAGGACGAACGCUGGCGGCGUGCCUAAUACAUGCAAGUAGAACGCUGAAGAGAGGAGCUUGCUCUUCUUGGAUGAGUUGCGAACGGGUGAGUAACGCGUAGGUAACCUGCCUUGUAGCGGGGGAUAACUAUUGGAAACGAUAGCUAAUACCGCAUAACAAUGGGUGACUCAUGUCAUUUAUUUGAAAGGGGCAAAUGCUCCACUACAAGAUGGACCUGCGUUGCA